RNAcentral lists this small RNA (347 nucleotides) under Pan troglodytes (chimpanzee). RNAcentral's name for it is "retained intron". The record is from RNAcentral. Lineage: Eukaryota; Metazoa; Chordata; Mammalia; Primates; Hominidae.
UCCAAACAUGGCGGCUCCACUAGGGGGUAUGUUUUCUGGGCAGCCACCCGGUCCCCCUCAGGCCCCGCCGGGCCUUCCGGGCCAAGCUUCGCUUCUUCAGGCAGCUCCAGGCGCUCCUAGACCUUCCAGCAGUACUUUGGUGGACGAGUUGGAGUCAUCUUUCGAGGCUUGCUUUGCGUCUCUGGUGAGUCAGGACUAUGUCAAUGGCACCGAUCAGGAAGAAAUUCGAACCGGUAAGCAUUCCCUCUGUGUACACAAUGUUCUGGGCUUCAGCAGUAUUUCCUAGUUGCUAAUUUUAUACUUCAUGUGUUUCAGUCCUGCUUUUAUCCUAAGAGAACAUUUCAGGG